AUCAAUAAGCGGAGGAAAAGCAACUAACCAGGAUUCCCCCAGUAACGGCGAGCGAAGCGGGAACAGCUCGAGCAGGCAAUCUCUGGUGUCGAUCGCCAGCGAAUUGUGGCCGGCAGAGGCGGGUGCACCUGACGCGAUUCCGUCGAAGUUGACCUGGAAAGGCACGUCGAAGAGGGUGAUAACCCCGUGCGUGGCGGAGUCGCCGAAGGCCGCUACCGUCUUCGGAGAGUCGGGUUGUUUGGGAGUGCAGCCCAAAGUGGGUGGUAAACUCCAUCUAAAGCCAAAUAACGGCACGAGACCGAUAGCGAACAAGUACCAUGAGGGAAAGGUGAAAAGCACUUUGGAAAGAGAGUUAAAGAGGCCGCGAAA
RNAcentral lists this ribosomal RNA (369 nucleotides) under Penares sp. 1 JAD-2022. RNAcentral's name for it is "partial large subunit ribosomal RNA". It matches the Rfam family "Eukaryotic large subunit ribosomal RNA", at positions 42 to 404 of the family's 3401-position model. The record is from RNAcentral. Lineage: Eukaryota; Metazoa; Porifera; Demospongiae; Tetractinellida; Geodiidae.